UACGGAGGGUGCAAGCGUUAUCCGGAUUCACUGGGUUUAAAGGGUGCGUAGGAGGGCAGGGAAGUCCGUGGUGAAAUCCUAGAGCUUAACUCUAGAACUGCCGUGGAUACUCUCUGUCUUGAAUCCCGUGGAGAUGAGCGGAAUAUGUCAUGUAGCGGUGAAAUGCUUAGAUAUGACAUAGAACACCAAUUGCGAAGGCAGCUCGUUACACGAAGAUUGACUCUGAGGCACGAAAGCGUGGGGAUUAAACAGG
RNAcentral lists this ribosomal RNA (253 nucleotides) under uncultured bacterium. RNAcentral's name for it is "partial 16S ribosomal RNA". It matches the Rfam family "Bacterial small subunit ribosomal RNA", at positions 524 to 776 of the family's 1533-position model. The record is from RNAcentral.